RNAcentral lists this ribosomal RNA (139 nucleotides) under uncultured marine bacterium. Its description in RNAcentral is "partial 16S rRNA". It matches the Rfam family "Bacterial small subunit ribosomal RNA", at positions 369 to 524 of the family's 1533-position model. The record is from RNAcentral.
CAAUGGGCGAAAGCCUGAUGCAGCGACGCCGCGUGAAGGAUGAAGGCUUUAGGGUUGUAAACUUCUUUUCUCAGGGAAGAGCAAGGACGGUACCUGAGGAAUAAGCCACGGCUAACUACGUGCCAGCAGCCGCGGUAAU